AGAACGAACGCUGGCGGCAGGCUUAACACAUGCAAGUCGAACGGGUGUAGCAAUACACCAGUGGCAGACGGGUGAGUAACACGUGGGAACCUUCCUCGUAGUACGGAACAACUCAGGGAAACUUGUGCUAAUACCGUAUACGUCCGAGAGGAGAAAGAUUUAUCGCUAUGAGACGGGCCCGCGUCGGAUUAGGUAGUUGGUGGGAUAACUGCCUACCAAGCCUACGAUCCGUAGCUGAUCUGAGAGGAUGAUCAGCCACACUGGGACUGAGACACGGCCCAGACUCCUACGGGAGGCAGCAGUGGGGAAUCUUGGACAAUGGGCGCAAGCCUGAUCCAGCCAUGCCGCGUGAGUGAAGAAGGCCUUAGGGUUGUAAAGCUCUUUUGGCAGGGACGAUAAUGACGGUACCUGCAGAAUAAGCCCCGGCAAACUUCGUGCCAGCAGCCGC
RNAcentral lists this ribosomal RNA (448 nucleotides) under uncultured bacterium. RNAcentral describes it as "SSU rRNA". It matches the Rfam family "Bacterial small subunit ribosomal RNA", at positions 26 to 518 of the family's 1533-position model. The record is from RNAcentral.